Molecule: ribosomal RNA, 253 nt
Filed under: uncultured bacterium
Lineage: Bacteria
Description: partial 16S ribosomal RNA
Rfam family: Bacterial small subunit ribosomal RNA
Source: RNAcentral
UACGAAGGGGGCUAGCGUUGCUCGGAAUCACUGGGCGUAAAGGGUGCGUAGGCGGGUUUUUAAGUCAGAGGUGAAAUCCUGGAGCUCAACUCCAGAACUGCCUUUGAUACUGGAAGUCUUGAGUAUGGGAGAGGUGAGUGGAACUGCGAGUGUAGAGGUGAAAUUCGUAGAUAUUCGCAAGAACACCAGUGGCGAAGGCAGCUCACUGGCCCAUUACUGACGCUGAGGCACGAAAGCGUGGGGAGCAAACAGG